CUAAUAUUCAACUACACAACAGAUGGUUGCCAGUUCUACAACUCCCUUUAGUACACCAAUCAUUCUUUAUAAUGGACCCUUAAAAUUCCUGUAACCAGCCAAGCCUGUCUUUGUAAUGUUCUAAAUCAUCCAGGUCAUGAAUGGGUCUUCCCAACCUCCAAGCUAGAGUUAUUCUGAAGUCUAGACAACGAUUGACCGGAC
Molecule: non-coding RNA, 201 nt
Organism: Pelobates cultripes (western spadefoot toad)
Lineage: Eukaryota; Metazoa; Chordata; Amphibia; Anura; Pelobatidae
Source: the annotation of a GenBank genome assembly